RNAcentral lists this ribosomal RNA (551 nucleotides) under uncultured bacterium. RNAcentral describes it as "partial 16S ribosomal RNA". It matches the Rfam family "Bacterial small subunit ribosomal RNA", at positions 355 to 895 of the family's 1533-position model. The record is from RNAcentral.
UGGGGAAUUUUGGACAAUGGGCGAAAGCCUGAUCCAGCAAUGCCGCGUGUGUGAAGAAGGCCUUCGGGUUGUAAAGCACUUUUGUCCGGAAAGAAAUCCUUGGCUCUAAUACAGUCGGGGGAUGACGGUACCGGAAGAAUAAGCACCGGCUAACUACGUGCCAGCAGCCGCGGUAAUACGUAGGGUGCAAGCGUUAAUCGGAAUUACUGGGCGUAAAGCGUGCGCAGGCGGUUUGCUAAGACCGAUGUGAAAUCCCCGGGCUCAACCUGGGAACUGCAUUGGUGACUGGCAGGCUAGAGUAUGGCAGAGGGGGGUAGAAUUCCACGUGUAGCAGUGAAAUGCGUAGAGAUGUGGAGGAAUACCGAUGGCGAAGGCAGCCCCCUGGGCCAAUACUGACGCUCAUGCACGAAAGCGUGGGGGAGCAAACAGGAUUAGAUACCCCUGGUAGUCCACGCCCUAAAUUGAUGUCAACUAGUUGUUGGGGAUUCAUUUUCCUUAGUAACGUAGCUAACGCGUGAAGUUGACCGCCUGGGGAGUACGGUCGCAAGAUU